This 492-nucleotide ribosomal RNA is filed under the name uncultured bacterium. RNAcentral's name for it is "bacterial SSU rRNA". It matches the Rfam family "Bacterial small subunit ribosomal RNA", at positions 28 to 507 of the family's 1533-position model. The record is from RNAcentral.
GAUGAACGCUAGCGGGAGGCUUAACACAUGCAAGUCGAGGGGCAGCAUAGGGUAGCAAUACUCUGAUGGCGACCGGCAAACGGGUGAGUAACGCGUAUGUAACCUACCCUGUACAGGGGGAUAACCCGGAGAAAUUCGGACUAAUAUCCCAUAACAAUAUCCGGGGCAUCUUUGGAUAUUUAAAGUUCCGGCGGUACGGGAUGGGCAUGCGUAACAUUAGCUAGUUGGUAAGGUAACGGCUUACCAAGGCUUUGAUGUUUAGGGGGUCCUGAGAGGGGUGGUCCCCGACAACGUGGGUACCUGAGACACGGACCAGACUCCUACGGGGGGCAGCAGUGAGGAAUAUUGGUCAAUGGGCGCAAGCCUGAACCAGCCAUCCCGCGUGCAGGAAGACGGCGCUAUGCGUUGUAAACUGCUUUUCCAGGGAGAGAAACUUGCGCACGUGUUGCGCAAUUGACGGUACCCUGGGAAUAAGCAUCGGCUAACUCCGUG